Molecule: ribosomal RNA, 599 nt
Filed under: Vararia tropica
Lineage: Eukaryota; Fungi; Basidiomycota; Agaricomycetes; Russulales; Lachnocladiaceae
Description: LSU rRNA
Rfam family: Eukaryotic large subunit ribosomal RNA
Source: RNAcentral
UACUUAAGCAUAUCAAUAAGCGGAGGAAAAGAAACUAACAAGGAUUCCCCUAGUAACUGCGAGUGAAGCGGGAAAAGCUCAAAUUUAAAAUCUGUCAGCUUUGCUGUCCGAGUUGUAAUCUAGAGAAGCAUUUUCCGUGCUAGACUGUGUACAAGUCUCCUGGAAUGGAGCAUCAUAGAGGGUGAGAAUCCUGUCUUUGACACAGACUACUGGUGCUUUGUGAUAUGCUCUCAACGAGUCGAGUUGUUUGGGAAUGCAGCUCAAAAUGGGUGGUGAACUCCAUCUAAAGCUAAAUAUUGGCGAGAGACCGAUAGCGAACAAGUACCGUGAGGGAAAGAUGAAAAGCACUUUGGAAAGAGAGUGAAACAGUACGUGAAAUUGCUGAAAGGGAAACGCUUGAAGUCAGUCGCAUUGGCUAGAAUUCAGCCCCUGUGGUGUAUUUUCUAGUGAAUGGGCCAGCAUCAUUUUGAAUCAUUGGAAAAAGGCAGAGGAAAGGUGGCACCCUUUUUGGGUGUGUUAUAGUCCUUUGUCAAAUACAGUGGUUUGGAGUGAGGAAUGCCAUUGGUAGGAUGCUGGCAUAAUGGCUUUAAACGACCCGG